CGCCGCGGUAAACCAGCUCUUCAGUGGUCGGGAUAAUUAUUGGGCUUAAAGUGUCCGUAGCCGGUUUAGUAAGUUCCUGGUAAAACCGGGCAGCUUAACUGUCCGUAUGCUAGGAAUACUGCUGUGCUAGAGGGCGGGAGAGGUCUGAGGUACUACAGGGGUAGGGGUGAAAUCUUAUAAUCCUUGUAGGACCACCAGUGGCGAAAGCGUCAGACUGGAACGCGCCUGACGGUGAGGGACGAAAGCCAGGGGAGCGAACCGGAUUAGAUACCCGGGUAGUCCUGGCCGUAAACGAUGCAUACUAGGCAAUGGUGCGGCCAUGAGCCGCAUCAGUACCGUAGGGAAACCGUUAAGUGUGCCGCCUGGGAAGUACGGUCGCAAGGCUAAAACUUAAAGGAAUUGGCGGGGGAGCACCACAAGGGGUGAAGCCUGCGGUUCAAUUGGACUCAACGCCGGGAAACUUACCAGGGGAGACAGCAGAAUGACAGUCAGGUUGACGACCUUACUCGACGAGCUGAGAGGAGGUGCAUGGCCGUCGCCAGUUCGUGCUGUGAGGUAUCCUGUUAAGUCAGGCAACGAACGAGAUCCGCGCCUUUAUUUGCCAUCAAGAAGUCACGACUUCGUUGGGAACACUAAAGGGACCGCCGUCGAUAAGACGGAGGAAGGAGCGGGCAAAGGCAGGUCAGUAUGCCCCGAAACCCCUGGGCUACACGCGGGCUGCAAUGGUGCGAACAAUGGGCUGUAACUCCGAAAGGAGAAACCAAUCCCGAAAUCGCAUCUCAGUGGGGAUUGUCGACUGUAACUCGUUGACAUGAACGUGGAAUCCCUAGUAAUCGCGUGUCACCAUCGCGCGGUGAAUACGUCUCUGCUCCUUGCACUCACCGC
Molecule: ribosomal RNA, 885 nt
Filed under: uncultured archaeon
Lineage: Archaea
Description: bacterial SSU rRNA
Rfam family: Archaeal small subunit ribosomal RNA
Source: RNAcentral